GACGAACGCUGGCGGCGUGCCUAACACAUGCAAGUCGAGCGAAUGAAGUUCCUUCGGGAAUGGAUUUAGCGGCGGACGGGUGAGUAACACGUGGGCAACCUGCCUCAUAGAGGGGAAUAGCCUUCCGAAAGGGAGAUUAAUACCGCAUAAGAUUGUAGUAUCGCAUGAUACAGCAAUUAAAGGAGCAAUCCGCCAUGAGAUGGGCCCGCGGCGCAUUAGCUAGUUGGUGAGGUAACGGCUCACCAAGGCGACGAUGCGUAGCCGACCUGAGAGGGUGAUCGGCCACAUUGGGACUGAGACACGGCCCAGACUCCUACGGGAGGCAGCAGUGGGGAAUAUUGCACAAUGGGGGAAACCCUGAUGCAGCAACGCCGCGUGAGUGAUGACGGCCUUCGGGUUGUAAAGCUCUGUCUUCAGGGACGAUAAUGACGGUACCUGAGGAGGAAGCCACGGCUAACUACGUG
RNAcentral lists this ribosomal RNA (464 nucleotides) under uncultured bacterium. RNAcentral's name for it is "partial 16S ribosomal RNA". It matches the Rfam family "Bacterial small subunit ribosomal RNA", at positions 28 to 507 of the family's 1533-position model. The record is from RNAcentral.